Molecule: unclassified non-coding RNA, 1965 nt
Filed under: Cotesia glomerata
Lineage: Eukaryota; Metazoa; Arthropoda; Insecta; Hymenoptera; Braconidae
Description: tropomyosin Per a 7.0102, transcript variant X24
Source: RNAcentral
UACACGCACACAGUGAUGCGUGGACAAGUCGUGCUGCCCGUUUUGAGCAUUGACAAGUCAGGAAAGUUCCAAGCAGGGGAAGGGGGGGGUCGACAAUCGUGUCCAUGUAAUCUCCCAACACAAUUUUAACAGCUGAAAAUGCGUGAUCAGAUACAAGAUACUUAACCAGAGUACCAGAAAGAAACAAAGAAAGGAAAAUAAAGAGAGACAGUGACUACAAAAUGGCGUUAACAAUUCUGGUGCAGUGGUAGCAGUGCGCCUUCGAGCUGCCGGAGAUUGCAUUACAGCGGGUGUUUUAAUUUCGCUGGGUCACUAGGUUGAUAGGGAGAUUCUUCCUAUUGUUAUUGUUGGUAUUACUUUAUAGUUUGUUAUUGUUAUUGUUGUUUUUUUUAGUUGUUGUUGUUGUUGUUGUUUGAAUUUACACCACCUGGACACCUGGUCUAUAAAUAUUGUCAAUCAAGUUUGCUAAACGUAAUAUAUUAAUAAAAAUCAUUUAAAAAAAUACUGAAAAAAAUAUGGAUCAAACAUUAACGUCAACCACACGGCGACGUGGGCACCAACAUCAUCCACGACACGCGACCAGAAGAAGACUCGACAUAUCCAACAGAGGACCCGCGCAGUGUGGCCCUGUUGCUGUUGAUAAAAAUUUUACACAAAUAGAGAAUUUUAUUGAACCAGAUGACAAGUGCCAAAAGUCUGUCACUUUGUCAGUCACAGUAUCUUUGGACCAUCCUUGUCCUGAUGCCAGCAACCUUUCAGGACAGUUGGACGAAUCUGUUGAUUUGCUCGAAUUAAGGCCCGCGCAGUGUGGCCGGACCAAAGAUAAAAACGAGUCUACUGAUAACGAUCUGGCUCGCCGCAGGGUUAACCUACAAGUCAAGGACAAUAGAGAUAGCAAUAAUACAACUAAUAACAGUGAUAACAAAAGGAUUGAUGAUUUUGAUUUUGAUUUUGAUUUUGAUGAGCUAAAAGGGUCAAGUAGUCCCGAGCCUGAGCACGCGGUCGCAAGGGCUCGUGGUGACGGUCAUUCUGAUGAUGAAGCGCCCAAUGAAGAAGACCCUGAGUUGGUAGAACUUGCUAAACUUAGGUGUCCCAGUGAGAGGACUGAAGUCACCGCUGAGAGAGAGGCCAGGAGGAGGAAGAGAUGCGCUGAUUAUCCAGGACUCGCUUUUGGCUCCUCGAUUUUCUCCAGCGACACUAUGAUGAAGUUCAGCCUUAUCAGAAAUGAGCUUCAGAACAUCAUGGGCAAUCAGCUUAAAAGGGCUGAAUCAGAAGUAGCAGCCCUCAACCGUCGUAUCCAGCUGCUCGAGGAAGAUCUUGAGAGAUCUGAGGAGCGUUUAGCAACCGCAACUGCUAAGCUUGCAGAAGCUUCUCAAGCUGCCGAUGAGAGCGAACGCGCCCGGAAAAUACUCGAGAACAGAAGCUUGGCAGACGAAGAGCGUAUGGAUGCUCUUGAGAACCAGCUGAAGGAGGCUAGAUUCUUAGCUGAAGAGGCCGACAAGAAAUACGAUGAGGUCGCCCGUAAAUUGGCUAUGGUUGAAGCAGAUCUCGAGCGUGCUGAGGAACGUGCCGAAGCUGGAGAAUCAAAAAUCGUUGAAUUGGAAGAAGAGCUACGUGUUGUCGGUAACAACCUCAAGUCUUUGGAGGUGUCAGAAGAGAAGGCGACACAAAGAGAGGAAAACUUUGAGGGACAAGUGAAGAUUCUUGACAGUCAGCUUAAGGAGGCUGAAGCGCGUGCUGAGUUCGCCGAGAGAUCGGUUCAAAAGUUACAGAAGGAGGUCGACAGGCUCGAGGAUGAAAUGUUGGAAGAGAAAGAAAGAUACAAGGCGAUCGGCGACGGAUUGGACAAUACUUUUGAAGAGCUUUAUGGAAUUUAAAUAAUGCUAAAGCCUAAUUAACUUUCGCUUUUUUUAGACUUUGCUAAUUAAUUAUAACGCUCACGAACUGGUUCACGAGAAGGAAAAG